UUCUUUUUUUUUUUUUUUUUUAAUAUUUAUUUAUUUUUUAGUUCUUGGCGGACACAACAUCUUUGUAUGUGGUGCUGAGGAUCAAACCUGGGCCGCACGCAUGCCAGGCGAGCGCGCUACCGCUUGAGCCACAUCUCCAGCCCCUGACUAGCAUAUUCUUCACCUCAGGCUAUCCUUUCAAAAAUAUCCUUUAUUACAACCUCUGUGGCUUUGUUUUUAUACUUUGUGAAAUGACAUACUGCAAUCUUUCUUGCUUUUCUUAAUCUGUUUCUUUUUGUAAGGUUUUAUGCAGCCUCUCCAUGCUUUGUCUGAAUUGGCCAUACUCUUUAUUACUGUGUUGCUUCUUUGCUAAGGAAAAAAAAUGAAAAUGUUAAGAGAAAUUCAACUAAGAAAUUUUGCUUUUAAUAAUCAUAGCAAAAAUUGGAAAAAUGGAAAUGCAUAUGAUAUUAGUUAUUAAUGUAUUACCUUUUGAUCCAAAUCCACCGUUUGCUUCUUGUUCUGCCAUAAUAGAGCUGGACCCUAUAAGCAAUUCUGUUUUGAUAAGUGGACAUGAGGGCUCUAGGGAAGAUGCUGAAGGACACAGGGCUUUCUCUUCCUAGAUCUAGCAUGCUUGUUUUCUUCUUAGUUCAACUAUGUGGCUGACAGUGGCAUUUAUGGGUACAUCUAGUGGUUCUCAUCCCCAAUGAGUGUCAUGGCCCUCUGUGAACAGCUUCCACAUCCCUGAAACAGUUUGCCAGUGAGUUCCACGAGCUCACCCCAGGGCAGCUUCCUGGUACAUUCUACUGCCACAUCCCCAGUUUCUCAAUGAUGCUCAGUAAUUCUGACAGAACCCACUCUGGAGGCUUCCUGAAAAUUCUACCAUCACCUCAAAGAGUGAGUAGUUCCCUCCUUCCUAGAUUUGGCUUGCAGCAGCUCAUUGGACCUCUCUACCAUUUCAUUGGUCAUGGCCACUAUGACUUCUCAAAUUUUAGGUCCCAGCUCCAGAAGGGAGGGGACUUUUCCAAAUUUAUUUCUUAGAUGGGUACUGUACACUAGAGAUAAUGGCUGCUCUCUCUAUGCUGUUCUUGUAAUAAGUACUGCUUUCUAUCCCUUCCAUAGUUAAUCUCUUACUCCUAGUUAAUAUUUAUUUUUAUUAAACAUCCCUGUUCAAAUUACUGUGUGCUUUAUUAAACAUUUUCUUUUCAGAUUACUGUCCUAUCUCCUGGCUGAUCCUUAACAGAGUAAAUCAUUGAAAAAAGAUGAAAUAAACUAGAAUACUAUGCAGGAAUUAAAAAAGAAUAAAUCAGGCUUUUGUGAAAGACCAACUGCUAUAGGAAUUGCCUCUCUCCAUAAAUAUAUAGAAAAUUUCACAAAACGUAUGAAAUAAUUAUUUACAGACCUUGUACUUGAAGCAGCACAAGACUGUGAUCUCUGAAAGAUACAAAUGAAGCUAGCUCUACAAUUUCCCCAGCCUGGAGGCAGUUUUCAGACUAUAGUACAGAGAGGGAUACUCAAAAUGAGAGUCUUGCUGAGUUGAAGAGAAAGAUAAAGAAUACAAAUGAGGCCAGAGUGCCAGAAAUUUGCAGGAUGGAGUUCUGAAAAGAGGGAUCUCCACAAAUAACUCUGGAGAUUUUUACAGGGGCCUUCAAGAGGCUUUGGCUGAGUUCUGUCUGCACAUACAUGGAAUAAAAUACAAUUAGGCCUGGAAAAGAAUCACCAAAAGCAGUAGGCCAACACUUCUUAGAAUUCCUUAAGUUCUGGGAGUUGUAGAAAAUUCCACAGAAUGGAAGAUCUAAUAUAAUAGGCUUCAGAGAGAAGAACAGACAUAUCUCAGUAGUGUAGGUAAUUAACAGACAUAUCUCAGUAGUGUAGGUAAUUAAUCCUAUAGUAAGACUGCUCUUGGCGUUCCAUAACAAAGCUUACAAACAAGCUUCAGAAGAUCUUAGAACAAAGUCCAACACUCUUGUAAGGAAUACAACAGAAUCCAGUAAAAUUCAACAUGUUCAAAAGUUAACAGGUAUUUUAAAAAGCAGGAAAUAUCCCAUCAAGAACCUUUUUUUUUUUCCUUUUUGGUUUUUAAGUUUUGUAUGCUGAACAGCCCAUGAACAUUUGUACAUAUAUAUAUUUGUCUCAAUCUUCUCAUUUCUAGCAUUUCUUGAAGGUAACUAUUUUCUUGACUCUUUUUUUAAGGACUAGGGUUUUUGAUUAGUAUACCUUGGUUUUAUUUUUUGUUUUGUUUCAUAUUAUUUUUCUCCUAAUUCCCUUGAUUAUCUUCUUUUCUUUUCUUUCCCUAACAGUCAAAUUCUACUGUUCUUUCACUCUUCCUUUUACUCUUUACUACUAUUCUGUCUCAUCCUCUCUCUUAAUUAUUACAUCCUACAUGUCUGCAUUCUCUUCACCUUUUGAAAUAGCAAACCCUUUUUGUAAACAUAAUAUCUGUGACCCUGAACCAAAAUUUCAAAAAACAAUGGAUAACUUCUAUACCAUUUCUGUUUAUAUUGCCAGCUAACAUUGUAGAUGCCAAAAAAGGAAAUAAAUAUUUAGUUUAAUGCUGAAUAUUGAUUGCAUUGCUUGUUAUUAUUAUUUGUCUUCCCCUAAGGUAUUAGAAAAC
Molecule: long non-coding RNA, 2590 nt
Filed under: Marmota monax (woodchuck)
Lineage: Eukaryota; Metazoa; Chordata; Mammalia; Rodentia; Sciuridae
Source: RNAcentral